AUUGAUACUGAUCACCCAACAUCACAAGACAUCCCCAUCUCUCAGCGUGGACUCCCCCUAUCUGUCAGUUGGAUGGUGCAGAUGAUUCUCCAACUCAACUCUACAGGAAGAAACGUCAAACUCUUCUCAAAAUCUUGAAGAGCAGGGUUACUACUUGCAGGCACAGGUGCUGUCAAGGGAGGACUCUGUUAACAAGACUGAUCAAAAUUGUUUAAUUGUUUUCCCCAGCACCUCAUAGACAUCAUUAUUUGGGCUGGGAUGGCCCAAAUUGCACCACAAAGAGAUAUUAUAGAUCCAUGAGCUCAGUGAAUCCUAAAGACAAGAGACCUUCUCAUUUUGUUGACACAGUGACAGGCUCCAGCACCUAAGCAAUGAAUACUGGCUAGCUGGGAUUCAGAAAAAUCUCAGAUUUGAGCUUGGGGAGAGUUUGCUCCAACAUAUCUCAGAAUUCAGAGUAUUUUCAGGCACCAUCAGCACUUCUGUAGUUACCCCCAGUAUUCCUUCCCAUUUCUCCCCAUUUUUACUGUUCCUUUUUCUUCAGUACUAUUUCCUUUUUCUUUUAUUGCAUCCAGGGAAAGGUCUUUUCUCUCCAAAGCCUUUGUGCUCUCAAUUUUCCUUAGCUACUUCUCCAACUUCUUUGGCUGGUUGUACUCCUUUCUGUGCGUCCUCUACGAGUGGGCAGGAAUACUCUGCCUCUUCAAAACAAGCUCUACCACUGCACCUGCCCCUUGAAAGGGUCACUCUGGGUGUCCAGGUACAGAAACAAGACCAAAAAGUUCUGCUUAAACUGAUGCUGAAGAACAUGAAAAACAAUUUCCUGGAGGAGAAAAUGAUAUGCCUGGUUUUGUCAUUAGGGAGGCUCCACCAUAUUAUGCUGUAGGUUCUUUUUCAGGGUUGCUUUCUGCGAGUGCUAAUAAAACAAAGCGGGCUAUCUCACAUCCUCACAGGAGACUGGACACUUGAAAGUGGUUUAGGCAACAUCUCUGGAGAAUUGCAGAGGCUCUGGGAGUGGGACAAAGGACAGAGCUGGCUAUGAUAUGUAUGUGAAAAAUAUACAUCAAUACAGAGUGACACCAGUGCAGAGCAGAACAUCUGAAAACUGAUGAAGUGGAGAGCUCUCUGUGUAAUGCAAAGCACCUGAAUGAUGUGUGUACACACAAAGAUUUGUUCAGCUCUGCUCAUAUCUAGCCCUCUUGGACAGUUGGAUUUGAUUUGCCAUUUUCCUGCCAAAAUAUUGUUGCUGUACCUCAGCACCUGGCCUUUCUUCAAAGAAAUUGCACAUGACUCUUCUGUCCCCACCUAAACCAGUCCAGAAUAUGGGUUCAGGAGAGGUUAGGGGAACCUUUUUUAAUAAAAAACACGUUUCUAAUAAUUUAAAGACUCAAAGAUAAAGACUUCUAUUUUAAAAAAUUUCCUGUCUCCAUAACACUGUUCAUAUAUAGCUGCUCACCCACCUUGAAAUGAAGACCGCUAUAAUCAACCUGCUGGCUUAGAAUGAGAGGAUCGCACAAGAAGCCAACUCACACUGUCUGCACAGCCAGCAGAGGGAGGCAAACAGUAUAAUUGGGUUUGAUUACAUUAUUUUAAACAGAAUUUUAAGGAUUUCUCAACCAAAUGGGAAACUGGUUUCCUAAAAAGUAAUACAAUGAAUAGUUAGGAUAAGCACUUCCACCAAAGUUUUACAACAGCAAAGGUGAUGUCAAAGAACACCAACAUUAUGACCUUUAUAAUUUCCUUGCUGUAAAACUCAAGGGGCCUUAGAGCUUUGGGUAUUUUUUUUUUUCAAUUCUCUCACUUAACCCAAAAGGGUUUUUUUCCUUUGGAAAAACUUGAGUCUUUUUUUAUUUUGUGGAAAGCAUCUUUGCAUAAUUAGAAGCAUUUGAAGGAAAACUAUCAUCUCUGAAACAACUGAGAAGUAACACCAAAAUGUAGGAAUUGUCUGAGAUGGUUGAAAACUUACUCUGCUUAAAGAGCUGAGAAAGGACAGUUCUCUCCUGUGAGUGUUGAAUGCUCCUUCUAACAACAUAUAUUUACGCCACUGAGGGAAAAAAAGAGUGAACAGGAUGGAAAUUUCCAACUUAAAUUUUUAAGGAUGAAAGAAAAAGUGGACAGUGAAAAGGAUAGAGGCAAAGGCAGGUAUACUUAUGCCCUGCAAAUUAGAAAUAUACAACACAAGCAAACAAGGCUUGAAAUGUUCAAACAUGUUAGGAAUUCUGUGAAAACUCCAGAGAAUUCAAACAACCUGCCCAUUUUCCAGGAACCUUGCAAAUUAAGGGCUCUUUUUCCUUAUCAUUCCAUUCCAUCCUUAUGUUGGAAUUAAGCAUCAGCUGAUGCUGGAGAGCAUAAUAUCAAGGUACAAGUUGGACCCUGGAAGAGCCGUGGGGGAGCAGAAGGCAGGGGCGUGUAUGGCCGUGUUGUUUCACACCUCUUUAGCCAGGGCUUGUCUCUCUGCAGCCCCACAGAUGUGCUAACAGCUGCAGAGGGGGUGAGCAGCUGGGGCUGCCUGCCUGUGGAGCCGUGCCAGGGGAGCACUGCCCGGGCACCAACAGCUGAGAUGGGGUAGAUCUCAUCUCUCAAAGGAUGGCAGCACUGACAGCCACCCAAAGAGGUAUUCUGCAUGGGGAUUCUGAGCCCACACUGCCAAACUGCAUUUCUAAAAACUCUGUGGGUUGUUUUUUGGUUGUUUUUUUUUUUUCUGUUUCCACAGUAAUUUAAGCUAGAAGCAAAUCCCCAAAAGCAGAAUGAUACACCAAGCAAAAUCAGUGAAGCUCAAAGACUGUGCAAAUUGCACAGAGGUGUGAAUAGGACUUGUUAUGUCUUUUUAGGCAUCAAAAUAUGCCUAACAAUGUGUUUCCAACCAAGCUCACAGGAAUUUUAAAAUGGGCUGCACCCUUUUACCUCCUCUAUGCCCUGUGCUUGGACUACCCAAUAUAUGAGCAGCAAUAUAGGUUUGAGGUAUUUCUUUGUGCAAACAGGCUUAUGCUACUGAUUUAGUCAGGGUUUUGCAAGCAUUGCACUACUGUAAUUAAUUUCCAGAAUAUGGCCCACUGGGCAAAAUUCAAGUUACACCAAAAAAAAAAAAUCUUGACUAAACCCUUGGAAGCUAAAACUAAUCACCACUUUAGAAAUCCAAAGGUGAUGAGCUUAUCUGGUUAAUAAUAAGCUUUUUAAGAAAAAGUUAUCAAUCUGUAUUUAACCAAUAGACAGGAACUGGUUCAAAAAGAGUCUUUCCAAUCCAUCAGGUAAUGAAUGCCUAUUAAAAAACUAUAAAUAAGCAUUCACCCGAGAGCUUGGAAUGGCACUUUGAGAGCCUUUCUGGUCACUCAGGUAAAUAAUGAGUUUUAUAUAACCUUUCAGCAAAGAUUUUUUUGCAAAUGAGGAGAUGAAAUGCAGAGAAGCUUCUGAUUAAUGUUAAAGUUGGGGUACAAGCCAAUGCACAACUGGGAAUUCAAAGUUAAAGUUGGCAUUGUUGUUCCCUCACUCUGUUUCCCCUAAGGGCUUAAUGUUAAAGACUCUGCUGUCUUUACUUUGAAUUGCUUAUGAUGGUUUCAAUUUAGGAUUUUAUUUAUACAUGGCAUUUCUACUGAUGAGUGUUUUGUGCUUUAUCUGUUCACCCAGCUGCCACAAAAUACAAAAAGAAUUGUAGGGAAGAGCAGAAUGAAAGCCCCUAACUGAUGUGUAGUCACCAGUGAAAAUGCCUACAGUGGUCUCUCAUCACAAUCCCCCUUAAAUCUACAAGGACUGUGCUUGUUCAUAUCUAAUGAUAAGGGAAAAUAAAGUCCAGAACUCCCUGAACUUUCUGGUAUCUCCUUCCAUCAAUAUUUACUACUCUCCAAUAAAAUCACUCUUAUAAAAUAUUUUGAGCUUUCUUGAUGACUAAGAAAAAAUAUACCCAUGAAGAGAUCCAUUAAUUAUCUUAAAAUCAAAUAACCUGGCAACCAGGAUAUAUGGCAAAAUUAAAUGUAAGCCCUUUCCUGGAUAGCUCUGCAGUCCUUCCUAAAGGAUUACACAUCAGCUGUCCUCAACACCUAACAUCCUAGGACAAGGAGAGAAAAAUGGGUUUCACACCCUGAGGGUUAACAAACUUCAUUUAUUAUAUACUUGGAGAGUGAAGAUUGUAUUGCAGGUUCAGGGAUGAAAAAGGGAAACUUCUCCAACUACAACCAUGAGACAGACGUUUGAAAAGCUAAAAUGGAAAGCAAGAGGGGAAAAAAAUGUUUAUAUUCAACGGAGAUCUUUCCUGAUCCUUGUGCUUCUGAAGAAAUAUAUCCUUCCAAUUGUUCCAUUUUGUGUUAAAACAUAUUUUUUGCAUUUAUUAAUAAUUCAAACAUGUUGUUGUUUAAAAAAUAUUCAUAUCAUGUGUUCAUAGUUUCCAUAUACAUAUGUCAAACUUUAGUUUGUUUUACCAUUAUAAUCUAGGAAUGGAUUUACCCUUUGUUUCUGUUUUCAAAUCUCUGAGGAAUGUUUGAUUAGGUAGGAGGGUUUGUUUUAUGCAUUACUUGUUCAUCAUUGCACAAGUGCACAGGCUAAACAAAGUUGGCAUACUUCAUACUGAUUGGUGGAAACAGUGUAGUUAAACAGUGUAGUUAAUACAAGGGAAUGAGUAAUUUCUCAGCACAGCUAAUCAGCUGCACAAUAGCCAUGGAUCAGGCAGCACAGCCAUAUAUCACAAAUGCAUUUUGAGGUAGCUCGUAGCACACACGAUCAUCUACCAGAAUCUGCUGCAAUCAUUCCAUAUUAACACACUCCCUCUGUAUUUAUUUAAUAAAAUGGAUCUCAUGUGCAGCAGUCUGUAUACAUAGCCAGACAGAAUACCAGGGAUUAUCCAGUUAAUGGCAAACCCAGGAAUUUUCUAGCUGGUAUAUAAUGGAAGAUAUGUCCAGGGUGUUUUCCAUUUAACAAUGUCAGGUGGAAAAGAAAAGCAAGAGCACUGAAGAUGACAAAACAGCUUCUGCUGCACUGAAGAACUUAAAUCAAUUUCAUAAUUCUAUAUCUAUCACUCCAUACAUCUAUAACUAAGAAAUAACAAGAUAAAUACAUUGCAAUAUUAUUUACCAGGUGUCUUCUGCAUUUACGCCUUUCCAUACUUUUGUGAUGAGCUGUCCUUUAUUAUGACUUGUAAACCUGUCAUUCCUGAAGAAAGUAUUUUUAACAGCUCAGCAUCAAUACCAGUUCAGAACAGCAUCCCCCUGUUAGGAAACAAGGCUGGGUUCAGUAGGAGUUAACAUUAACAAUUCAAGAGACUGUAGGAGAAAUUAGAAACAUGAGCCCUCCAUAAUGAUGAUAAAAUCAAACUGGCAAAUAAAUGUAUUCUCAAAUGUCAUAGUAAGAAAAUGGAUGAAUAUAUGCAACUAAAAUGGUCUCUUAAAUUUCAAGUGCAUGGCCAGGAUUCUCAAGAACUUGCUCCUAAAUAGAAGAAGCUGAAUUAGAAAUCUAUCAAGUAAUCUCAGUACUGCAUAUCUGCACAUGUAAUGCAAACUUCAUGAAGUCCACAAUUUCACCCUACUAGUCUAAUCCAAAGCCCACUGGGAUCUAUUCCUCUGAAUUUGAUGAGUUUUGGAUCAAGCCUUUUGAAGAUAAGGAGUGAGCUGGAAACAAAAUGAUGCCAUAAAUCAGAAUGAGUGGUACAGAAUUAAGUAGUACAAAAUAUAGCUUUCAGUAGUAUAUUAUGCUAAGGUUAUAAAAUAAAAUACAAUACAACAAUUGAUGUAUUAACAGUAAGGAAAAAGAUACACAAAUAUUUGUGUUAUUAAGGAAUUAGUGAAAUUGCAGUGCUUCACUUUCUUAAAAAAUAUAGGCUCUAUUUUGAUAUUCACACUUAAGGAAACACUUUGGCUCUGAUAAAACCAAGUGGAUAAUUAAAAAUUAUAAUAUUAAUUGUACCCUUAACACAGAUAAGUAAACUUGGCAAGAAAGUUUUAAUGAGUUAAGUGAAAAGGCAAUGUCUAAAUUAACUGAGUAAAUUGGCAAAGGGAAAUUUAUUGUAUAUACUGACCCUUUUAACUUGUUUUAAUGUCUGAAUUUGAACUACAUAGAUUAGUUUUCAUUACACGAUACAUUAAAUUAUAAGGAUAAAAGUAUUCCUCUCAGAAUCUGCUUUCUAGGACAGGUUACAGUGCUUACAAAUUAAUUGUCCUGUAAUAUGUUAUAAUAGCAGCUCCAAAUCCAUGGAUUCAGUAGAGGUUCCUGAGGGAAAUGACAGCUACUGGAAUAUAUUUAGAAGUCAAUAUAAAGGAAUAAACCACGGUCACACUAAAAACGUGAACAGCUCCACAGCACAGGACAGUUGUGGGAAUUCCCAGUGCUCCCUGGACCAGGCUGGCUCCUGCACAGCCCAAAGGUGUGGGGGGUGACAUUCAGGAACACCUCUCACCCAGCUGAGAGCCCGCUGGACAGGCUGAGGCACGGCAGCUGCUCCCACUGAAAACACUCCGUGCUCAGGAAAAGUGCCUGGCACAUUCCAGAGCAACUCCUGGAUAAAAGCACCUCCUGCCAAAUCUCGACUGAAGGAGCCCUAACGUAAGAGCCGACAUGGACGCACACCCCACUGGGACCUGUCUGACUGUAUCAGUUUUUAAUGUAUCUUUCCAUUAAAUCAAAGAUCCAAAUGCUAAAUCUAGCACUGAGACACAGCAAGGGAAUUUGUGACAUUCCUCAGAGGACUCGGUGUCCAUAAACUAAUGAAUGGAUGAAACUGAUCUCAGUAUUUGGUUUCUCGUUUUUGACAAAUAUAAUAUUGAAGAUAUUUUGUUUAACUGUUUCAUAACACUGUACUUGUGAAAAUUUAACUGAACAGCAACUGCUCAACCAGAAAUACACAGCAACAGAUACUGGGAUUAUGUAUAUAAUUAAGAAACAGGCAUGGCAGAAGACCAUAAUAUUGCAUGAUUUAGAAGUUCAAAUCUUUCAGCUCCUACUAAAUACUGUCAAGCACCAAGAAGUUCUGAGCCAGAACCAGCUGAAAACAAUGGAAAGAUUUCCAUUGGUUUAAUAAGCAAUGAAUCAGAUUCAUAAAAAUGAACCAAGCUAGUAAAUGUGCUGUUGUUCAGAGUGGCUUCUAAAUAAAUAUAUAAAUCCCA
Molecule: non-coding RNA, 7079 nt
Organism: Zonotrichia albicollis (white-throated sparrow)
Lineage: Eukaryota; Metazoa; Chordata; Aves; Passeriformes; Passerellidae
Source: RefSeq, a predicted model, not a curated record